RNAcentral lists this non-coding RNA (26 nucleotides) under Homo sapiens (human). The record is from RNAcentral. Lineage: Eukaryota; Metazoa; Chordata; Mammalia; Primates; Hominidae.
UCCAAGCACCAUUACUGAAGAGAGUA